GACUCUGACCUCCUGUUAAGUGUCACAGA
RNAcentral lists this small RNA (29 nucleotides) under Bombyx mori (domestic silkworm). RNAcentral's name for it is "ovarian small RNA-15627". The record is from RNAcentral. Lineage: Eukaryota; Metazoa; Arthropoda; Insecta; Lepidoptera; Bombycidae.